CAUGGUUUAAAAAGUACAAGGGGUUCAAUACUAAGAACUUAAAAGAUUGAAUUCACCUAAGAGUGUUCAAGAAAAUUUAAUACAUCAAUUAAUUAAUGUAGCACAAAACCCUGGGCUUGUUACUGCAACAUUAGAUAAGCUCUUCCAUCAAUAGGUGACAUUUAUCUUCAAGUUGUCAAGCAAUUUGAGGCUGGAUAGUUUCGUCUAAUAUGAGUGCUUUUAAAUCAUCAUUUGUUAUAUUCUGAAAAGAUAAAUGUAGAGAAAGAUAAAUAGGUAAAAAACAAACAUAUAACAACAACAAUAUAUACAGAGUGUAAUUUCAUAAAUGAAAUCUAUGAAGUGUAAACAUAUAACCUUAUUCCUAAUUUUGUGCAGUAGAAAAAAUAUUUUUGAUAAAUACUUAGCUUCAUCAAAAAGGAAGAAAAUAAGAAAAUAUGACAACAAUAUAGGAAGAAAACAAAGAAAAUGUGAGCAACAGAUAAUAAUACAUAUAAAAAAAACAAUGUGAUAGUGAUACAGGGCCGUCUUAACCCCUAGGCCACUAAAACCAUCGCUCGGGGCCCCACAUAUUUUGGGGCCCCCAUUUUUAAAAACAAUUACUUAUACAUGUUAUUUUAAAAUAUAUAUAUAUAUGUACUAUGAGUAUUAUGGUUCCUACUAAGGAAAUUACAUAUGAGAUGAAAAUAAACCUGAAUUUCAUAAGAAACAAUUUGAUGAAAAUAUGGCGUAAGAAACAAUUUGAUGAAAAUGUGGAUAGCGAAAUCACAAAGUCCCUUGAAGAACCUUUUAGAAUUGAUUGUUUUAUAUAUGUAGAGUAGAUCAAACUAUUUUUCGCUUCAAAAUAGAUUUGAACCAAUUGAAGCAUAUGAAAAUAUUUUUGAUUUCUUAUUUAGAGGUAAAAUAUUGAGACCACUAGAUGAUGAGAAUUUUAAAAAUAUUGUCUUAACUUUGAACUUUAUUUAACAUGUAAUAGUUAUUCUGAUAUUGAUGGUUUAGAUUUAUUUUUUGAAUUAAAAGUGUUAAGGAAAAUAAUACAAGUAGAAGAUAAUGAUCUAAUGAAAAUACUCAAUCAAUAAAAGACUUGAUUCUUUUCCAAAUACACAUAUUGCUUAUAGAAUAAUGUUAACAAUUCUUGUAACCGUUGCCUCAGCCGAAAGAUGUUUUUUCGAAAUUAAAAUUGAUUAAAUCUUCUUUAAGAUCAGCAAUGUCUCAAGAGAGAUAGAAUGAAUUAGCUAUAUUACCAUUUGAAAAAGAAUUAUUAGAACAAAUUGAUUAUAAUACAGUACAUAAUGGCUUCGCAUCUAAAAUAGCUAGAAAAAUAGAUUUUAAAUAAAAGUAUAUAUGAUGAAAAUAAUAAAAUAUUAGGGCCCCUCUCUUCAGUUUCGCUUUAGGCCCCCAAUAUUGUUGAGUCGGCCCUGUGUGAUACCUAAAUAAUACUAUUUUAAUAAGGAGAAGCGUAGUGGAGGCCAUAUUCUAUCUACCUUUCCAUACACAUAAUACGACAACACUCAUAAAUUAUUAGUAUUACUAGACACAAGUGCCCGUGAUAUAUGUUAUUUUUUGUCUCACUUUAUGUGACAUUAAUAGAAUUUAGAUAGUCAAUUAAAUUUUAAUAUGAUUCUUAAAUAUUUUAAGUUGUUAAUUAUUGUAAUUUAUAGUAUUUUUUACAUAAUUUUAAAUAAUAUAUAUUACUUAUCUUGUCCCAAUGUAUGUAGCACAUAUAGAAUUUCAAGAGUCAAUCAAAUGUUGUUAAUUAAUUUGAGAUUUUACAAUACUUUCUACGUAGUUUCUAAAUUAAUUAUUACAUGUUACUUCUUUUGAUCAUUGUAAUUUAUAGUACUUUUUACGUAAAUUUUUAAUAAUAUAUGUUACUUCUCUUAUCCCAAUGUAGGUAGCACAAAUAAAAUUUCAAGAGUCAAUCAAAUGUAGUUAAUUAUUGAGAUUUACAAUAUUUGUACGUAGUUUCCAAAAUUAAAUAAUACAUGUUACCUUUUUUUAUCCCAUUAUAUGUGACACAAAUAGAUUAAUUUUAUGAAUCAAUCGAUUUUUUUAUAUGUUUUAUUACAUAUAUUUUAGGGAUAAGAGUCUGAAAAAUACCCCAACUUUUGGUCGGAUUUGUUGUUGCGAUACUAAACUUUCAUAAGGACCUAUUACCUCCCUAGACUAUUUAAUACCGUAUUUUAAACAUAUAUAUUUGCCUACGUGGACAUAAAAAAUAAUGCAAAAUUAUAAAUAGUAAUGUGUCCUUUUGAAAUGACUCUAAGAAUUCUCUAGACUUGGCUCUUAACUUUCCUUGAAUUUGAAUUUAUGGAUUCAAGGAUUGUGAUUUGUGAUAGGAAGGAUCGCAUGAUGUUUAGGAAUGUUUUAAGAUAGUUAAACAUGUGAAACGAUCAAGAAAUUAUUGUCUGGAAACAAGUCCGCGACGCGGAGAUACAUUUAAAUAUUUGGUCGCGAAAUAAAUUUUGAGGCAGAACGGUCCGUGACCGCUUCGCGACGCGGGGAAGAAUUUUGGGAAAAGGUAGGGCAGGUCCGCGAUGCGGACUGGGACACCAGCUUUUCCCGCCUUUUUCCUUAUUCAUUUUCUAAUCCCAAUUCGCCUAAAUUCGAUUCUUUUUCUCAAAUCCUCUUUAGUUUCAGAUACCCAGUACAUGAACCUAAGAAUCUAAUCAAACAUCGCUAUAAAAUCGACAGGGUUCCAUCAAGAACUCAACAAUCCCAUCAAAUCGCAAUAACUAAAGCCAAUAUCAAGAACAUCAAACUUUCAACCUUUUGGGACCAAUUCACGCUAAAAUAAACAUGUUUGGCGCGUGGGUGAACGAAUUCAACGCUAUGAAAGUUUCACAUACCUCGUAGGAUAGUAUCCUUGGCGAAAUCCACUAACAAAUCGCAAGAACUUGAUGAAUCUUGAACUUUUCUUUUCUUGAGUUCUUUCUCCAAAAAUCCUAGUAUAAUUUGGUAAAGCGUAAACUGAUCCAAUUCUGUUUAGACCCCAAUUAACUUCUAAAAACGAAAAUAAAACAAUUGGGCAUGGAAAAGACCAAAAUACCCCUUAAAAAUCCGAUUUUGACUUUACUUAUCUAGACAGCCCAACUUCCAAUGGGCAUAUCUCCCUCAUACUAAUUCGAAAUCGAGAAAACUCGGUGGCGUUGGAAAGAUAAUUCAAAGAUCUUUCCUACGGUAUUUGGUAGUACACCUAACACAUCCUGAUCUAGGAUUUAUGGUCAUUUAAAGUUGACCCAAAACUCAAACUUAACAUAACUUAAACAGUUUUCCAGAUUUUUCAUUCUUUCCAAAAAUGACUCUUUUUAAUUCCAGCUCUUUCACUUAGCGAGGUGUUACGUUUGCUCUUCUUAGGCGUUUCAUUUGUAACAUAUUUUUCUUUAGGCUUUAAUAUAGGUUCGUACCCUAACUGCAGUGGUGGAAUUAAGCAACAUAUUUUUCUUUAAGAGCAUAUAUUUAUUAAAAAAUACAACAAACAUAAGUUUGAACUCAGGGUUUAGAAAGUACGAGGGGUUCAAUACUAAGAACUUAAAAGAGUGUUCAAGAAAAUUUAAUACAUCAAUUAAUUAAUGUAGCACAAAACCCUGGGCUUGUUACUGCAACAUUAGAUAAGCUCUUCCAUCAAUAGGUGACAAGUUCCUGUAUCAUAUAAUACGUUCAUUUAACAGUAAAUCCUUUGCAUAAACAGAAAUUAUAGAACUGUCGUUUUUCAAUCUGAGCUAAUUAAUUAAAGAAAACCAACAAAAAAGAAAGAAAGUAGUAGUAUUUACAUGCAUAUCUCCAAGUUG
RNAcentral lists this long non-coding RNA (3788 nucleotides) under Solanum tuberosum (potato). Its description in RNAcentral is "long non-coding RNA (STUB_LNC007907)". Lineage: Eukaryota; Viridiplantae; Streptophyta; Magnoliopsida; Solanales; Solanaceae. The record is from RNAcentral.